Hordeum vulgare subsp. vulgare (domesticated barley) is the source of this 135-nucleotide non-coding RNA. The record is from Rfam. NCBI's taxonomy places the organism in Eukaryota, Viridiplantae, Streptophyta, Magnoliopsida, Poales, Poaceae.
UAUAUACUCCCUCCGUCUUAAAAUUCUUGUCUUAGAUUUUGUAGAUAUAGAUGCAUCUAUAUACUAAAAUGUGACUAGAUACAUUCAUAUCUAGAUAAAUUCAAGACAAUAAUUUUAAAACGGGGGGAGUAGUUU